RNAcentral lists this ribosomal RNA (462 nucleotides) under uncultured bacterium. RNAcentral's name for it is "bacterial SSU rRNA". It matches the Rfam family "Bacterial small subunit ribosomal RNA", at positions 28 to 507 of the family's 1533-position model. The record is from RNAcentral.
GAUGAACGCUGGCGGCGUGCUUAACACAUGCAAGUCGAGCGAGAAAAGUUCUUCGGAGCUUUUCUAGCGGCGGACGGGUGAGUAACACGUGGGCAACCUGCCUCAUAGAGGGGAAUAGCCUUCCGAAAGGAAGAUUAAUACCGCAUAAUAUUGUUGAAAGGCAUCUUUUAACAAUCAAAGGAGCAAUCCGCUAUGAGAUGGGCCCGCGGCGCAUUAGCUAGUUGGUGAGGUAACAGCUCACCAAGGCGACGAUGCGUAGCCGACCUGAGAGGGUGAUCGGCCACAUUGGAACUGAGACACGGUCCAGACUCCUACGGGAGGCAGCAGUGGGGAAUAUUGCACAAUGGGGGAAACCCUGAUGCAGCAACGCCGCGUGAGUGAUGAAGGUCUUCGGAUUGUAAAGCUCUGUCUUUAGGGACGAUAAUGACGGUACCUAAGGAGGAAGCCACGGCUAACUACGUG